AGUUCUUUGCCCACCUGGCGGGUGGGGUGGGCCUGUGGCUUAGGCUACUCUUGGCCCUGAUUCUGGUAAGGGGCCUAUUGGCCUCCUGGCUCUUGGUGCUGUCCCUUCGCACAGGCCCCUGGUUGAUUUGAAAGUCUUCUUUCUGCGAGGUAGGUCUGGCGGUUCGAUCCCGCAAGGUGCAUCUGUAGAGGAGAGGCUUGAAAAAAAGGAGGAGCAGGACAAUCAAUGGCCUGGAUUUCUGGAGGUGUGUGGGGCUGGAGGGGGUGGAUGGUGAUGAACAAGCAGCCAUUGAGUGGAGACUCAAAUUCGCGGUGGGGUGGCUAAGACCAGAACAGGUCAGGCAUCCAGGAGUACCUUCCAAAAUUCCCCUUUGCACUAGCUUUCUUAGCACUUCCCUUGCCUUCCUCCUUCACCUCCACUCAAAACUGGUGGCAGGAAAAAGAUGAGCUAGGAGGUGAGGGUGAGACAAGUCAUUAAUUACAAGUGCCACUGCACAACCUGUUUUCUAGAAUAUGCGGGCACCCUUCCCCCAAUUUAUGCUGCGCAAGGCUGUGCGAUGUGGUGCACCUAGUGGUGAAUCCUCAGAAUUGGAAAAGGGAGCAAUGUGAGAAGUGUGACGUCAAGAGAAGAUGUUGUUGUCUGGAACCCUGAAAUGGAAGGCUUAAGUAAUAGAGAAUAUUCUAUCAAGAUAACUUUAAAUGUUGAAAGACAAAUAUGUGGACUCCUAUCCUUGGUGUUUGUGGGUCCAUCCAGAACUCAGUUGCUACCAUGGUUUCCUGACUGUCAUGCCUUUUCAUUUGUUUGUCCAUAGGCCUGCUUUAAAGCUGCUCGCUUCUGCAAGGAAGGGAAGGAGGAAGAGACUGGCUCAGAUCUCUGGAGGACUGCCUGCUCUCUGCUGUAGAGCUUAAUAUCACUGAAACAAAGCAAGGAAGGGGAAAUUGCACCAUAUCCUUGCAGAGCUCCUUCAACCUAGAAUUCCUGUUGGGAGUACCACAUUUAUGUUUGGGGAACUUCACACUGCGGCCUCGCUGGAUACUGCCUAAGUCCCAUGUGCACCUGAAACAGAUAUUUAGCCAAUUAACACCUGUGGAUUCUUUCAAUCUCAGGAAAAAGGCAGAGUAAGUGUUGUGUGCAUGUGUGUGUUCCUAAGUAUAAGGAUGAUUAUCUUUGUUCUGAUCACCCCUUGGGUCUGACUUGUAGGGGCCAAGACCAUCAAUUUUUUUUUUUACUUAUAUGGCCCUUUUGUUUCUGCUCCUUUUCUGGAUAAAUAUUAUGGGCUAUCUCACUUGACUUAAAAUGUUGCUGCCUGAGGAUAAAAUUAAAGCAGAUUUGUCAUCAAC
Molecule: long non-coding RNA, 1340 nt
Filed under: Suricata suricatta (meerkat)
Lineage: Eukaryota; Metazoa; Chordata; Mammalia; Carnivora; Herpestidae
Description: lncRNA (ENSSSUG00005014124.1)
Source: RNAcentral